Molecule: ribosomal RNA, 301 nt
Filed under: uncultured bacterium
Lineage: Bacteria
Description: partial 16S ribosomal RNA
Rfam family: Bacterial small subunit ribosomal RNA
Source: RNAcentral
CAGCAGCCGCGGUAAUGCGAAGGGGGCUAGCGUUGUUCGGAAUCACUGGGCGUAAAGCGCACGUAGGCGGAUCCUUAAGUCAGAGGUGAAAUCCCAAGGCUCAACCUUGGAACUGCCUUUGAUACUGGGGAUCUCGAGUCCGGGAGAGGUGAGUGGAACUGCGAGUGUAGAGGUGAAAUUCGUAGAUAUUCGCAAGAACACCAGUGGCGAAGGCGACUCACUGGCCCAUUACUGACGCUGAGGCGCGAAAGCGUGGGGAGCAAACAGGAUUAGAUACCCGUGUAGUCCCUGUCUCUUAUAC